RNAcentral lists this transfer RNA (73 nucleotides) under Sus scrofa (pig). It matches the Rfam family "tRNA". From Rfam's summary of the family: Transfer RNA (tRNA) molecules are approximately 80 nucleotides in length. Their secondary structure includes four short double-helical elements and three loops (D, anti-codon, and T loops). Lineage: Eukaryota; Metazoa; Chordata; Mammalia; Artiodactyla; Suidae. The record is from Rfam by way of RNAcentral.
UCCCUGGUAGCCUAGUGGUUAAGGAUUCACUGUUGUCACCACUGUGGCUCAGGUUUGAUCCCUGGCCUGGGAA